Molecule: ribosomal RNA, 253 nt
Filed under: Cyclophora tenuis
Lineage: Eukaryota; Bacillariophyta; Fragilariophyceae; Cyclophorales; Cyclophoraceae
Description: partial Bacterial small subunit ribosomal RNA
Rfam family: Bacterial small subunit ribosomal RNA
Source: RNAcentral
GGUGCAAGCGUUGUUCGGAAUCACUGGGCGUAAAGGGCAUGCAGGCGGAAUGUUAAGUCGGGUGUGAAAACUAUGGGCUCAACCCAUAGCCUGCACUCGAAACUGAUAUUCUGGAGUCUCGGAGAGGUGAGCGGAAUUCCUGGUGUAGCGGUGAAAUGCGUAGAUAUCAGGAGGAAUACCAAUGGCGAAGGCAGCUCACUGGACGGUGACUGACGCUGAUAUGCGAAAGCGUGGGGAGCAAACAGGAUUAGAU